RNAcentral lists this ribosomal RNA (388 nucleotides) under uncultured bacterium. RNAcentral describes it as "bacterial SSU rRNA". It matches the Rfam family "Bacterial small subunit ribosomal RNA", at positions 30 to 412 of the family's 1533-position model. The record is from RNAcentral.
AUUGAACGCUGGCGGCAGGCCUAACACAUGCAAGUCGAACGGUAACAGGAAGAAGCUUGCUUCUUUGCUGACGAGUGGCGGACGGGUGAGUAAUGUCUGGGAAACUGCCUGAUGGAGGGGGAUAACUACUGGAAACGGUAGCUAAUACCGCAUAACGUCGCAAGACCAAAGAGGGGGACCUUCGGGCCUCUUGCCAUCGGAUGUGCCCAGAUGGGAUUAGCUAGUAGGUGGGGUAACGGCUCACCUAGGCGACGAUCCCUAGCUGGUCUGAGAGGAUGACCAGCCACACUGGAACUGAGACACGGUCCAGACUCCCACGGGAGGCAGCAGUGGGGAAUAUUGCACAAUGGGCGCAAGCCUGAUGCAGCCAUGCCGCGUGUAUGAAGAA